This 254-nucleotide ribosomal RNA is filed under the name uncultured bacterium. RNAcentral describes it as "partial 16S ribosomal RNA". It matches the Rfam family "Bacterial small subunit ribosomal RNA", at positions 524 to 776 of the family's 1533-position model. The record is from RNAcentral.
UACGUAGGGCGCGAGCGUUGUCCGGAAUUAUUGGGCGUAAAGAGCUCGUAGGCGGCCUGCUGCGUCCGCUGUGAAAUCCCGGGGCUCAACCCUGGGCGUGCAGUGGAUACGGGCAGGCUGGAGGCAGGCAGGGGAGAACGGAAUUCCGGGUGGUAGUGGUGAAAUGCGUAGAGAUCCGGAGGAACACCAGUGGCGAAGGCGACACGCUGGGCCAUACCUGACGCUAAAGCGCGACAGCAUGGGGAGCAAACGGG